CCUACGGGCGGCUGCAGUGGGGAAUAUUGGACAAUGGGCGAAAGCCUGAUCCAGCCAUGCCGCGUGUGUGAAGAAGGCCUUCGGGUUGUAAAGCACUUUCAGUGGGGAAGAAAGCCUUGGGGCUAAUACCCUCGAGGAAGGACAUCACCCACAGAAGAAGCACCGGCUAACUCCGUGCCAGCAGCCGCGGUAAUACGGAGGGUGCGAGCGUUAAUCGGAAUUACUGGGCGUAAAGCGCGCGUAGGCGGUCUGAUAAGCCGGUUGUGAAAGCCCCGGGCUCAACCUGGGAACGGCAUCCGGAACUGUCAGGCUAGAGUGCAGGAGAGGAAGGUAGAAUUCCCGGUGUAGCGGUGAAAUGCGUAGAGAUCGGGAGGAAUACCAGUGGCGAAGGCGGCCUUCUGGACUGACACUGACGCUGAGGUACGAAAGCGUGGGUAGCAAACAGGAUUAGAUACCCCGGUAGUC
This 465-nucleotide ribosomal RNA is filed under the name Vreelandella stevensii. RNAcentral's name for it is "partial 16S ribosomal RNA". It matches the Rfam family "Bacterial small subunit ribosomal RNA", at positions 338 to 795 of the family's 1533-position model. Lineage: Bacteria; Pseudomonadati; Pseudomonadota; Gammaproteobacteria; Oceanospirillales; Halomonadaceae. The record is from RNAcentral.